RNAcentral lists this ribosomal RNA (490 nucleotides) under uncultured bacterium. RNAcentral describes it as "bacterial SSU rRNA". It matches the Rfam family "Bacterial small subunit ribosomal RNA", at positions 501 to 987 of the family's 1533-position model. The record is from RNAcentral.
CUACGUGCCAGCAGCCGCGGUAAUACGUAGGGCGCGAGCGUUGUCCGGAAUUAUUGGGCGUAAAGAGCUUGUAGGCGGUUUGUCGCGUCUGCUGUGAAAGGCCGGAGCUUAACUCCGUGUAUUGCAGUGGGUACGGGCAGACUAGAGUGCAGUAGGGGAGACUGGAAUUCCUGGUGUAGCGGUGGAAUGCGCAGAUAUCAGGAAGAACACCGAUGGCGAAGGCAGGUCUCUGGGCUGUAACUGACGCUGAGAAGCGAAAGCAUGGGGAGCGAACAGGAUUAGAUACCCUGGUAGUCCAUGCCGUAAACGUUGGGCACUAGGUGUGGGGGACAUUCCACGUUUUCCGCGCCGUAGCUAACGCAUUAAGUGCCCCGCCUGGGGAGUACGGCCGCAAGGCUAAAACUCAAAGAAAUUGACGGGGGCCCGCACAAGCGGCGGAGCAUGCGGAUUAAUUCGAUGCAACGCGAAGAACCUUACCAAGGCUUGACAU